GCUGAAGCUGGAGGGGAUAUCACCUUCCCCAUCUGAUCUCCCAAGUCAGCUGGCUUGUGCUGCCAUCAGGCAUCUGGGUGGAGUUUUGGGAGGAGGCUUUGUCUUCAGCUGAAAAUGGGGGAACUUCAAGGGGCCCCCAGGAACGCUCCAGGAGCAGGGGUGAAGGUGCCACAUCUGUGCUGCGAUGCUUUUCUCUGCAUCUGUUUUCUACAGCAGGCAGGCGUCAGGGAGCCUGGCAGAGCUGAAUUUGUCCCCUGCAGAAGCUGGUAGGUGACAGUUCGCACAAGUCCUCAUUUGGAAGCUCUAUUUUGAAUGGAAAAACGGGCUCUCAGCUAAACCAAGCUGCAAUUGACAGUGUCUGUGAGGUUUUUGUUUGUCGAGCAAGCAGUACAAGUAUUAACGGAGGGGAAAGGGAGCCAAACCAAAAAAUUGCAAGUGCCCUUAAGUAAAUGUUCUCAUCCUUCAGCCCAAACCUACAACACAUCAGCAGAAAAAAAUGAAUGAUAGCAUUUAAUGGGAGCUGUAGCCUUAUUUUUCUACUUUGCUUACAGGACAAAAGCCCCAGCAGACCACAUAUCCUGUGCCAUGUCUCGACUGGGGCAUUCAACUUCUUGUGAGCGAAUCCUUCCAAAGCCAAGAGACUUCUUCUGGACUUCAGAGGCUCGGCGCUGUUUUGUUCUUGUUUAUGGCUCUGGUGCCAAAGUAAAUCGAGGGGCUGAUAAACACUGCGCACCCUGCCAUGCUCUGUCAAUGGACGUCUUCCUUGGAAUUAGGUGGCUAAACAACAUAAAAGUAUUUUCAUUCUGCUUUAUGCUCUCAUCUGUCUCCUAAACAAUUAUUUUCAGAUUUAUGCUGGAACAUGAACUCAGUAGGACUUAUUUUGCUUUCCUGCUUUUCCAUCCCACUGAUAAGCUGCCACGCCAGCCCAUGUGCGGAGUUUCUCACCAGCACUGUGCUCAUGUGCUCGGCUUGCAGCCUUCCCUCGUGUGGAAAUCUGCUCCGUUCAGAAACGCAGAGUUAUUUAAGGGGAGCUUUCACAGUAGCCAUUUGAUGUUCAGCCUUUUCGGGUGUCUGGACCCUAAUUAGAGAAGGGAAUUACAGAGCAGGAAGUUGGCAGGACUCAAAACUGUGGGUUCACCCCAAGGCUACGAUCUUCUGGGUUGCUGCUGCAUCUGCACAGUGAUUAGCAGCUCCUGUGCCCCCUGAUUUACUAGAAUACAAUAGAAGCCUUCUAAUUGUCUGUUAAUCAGAGUUAAUUGCUCACUAGGAAGGAGCUCAGGCCUAUCUAGCUGGUAGAAAAGAGAGCUGAAAGCUCCUGGGUGAAGGCUGGAAGCCCUGAGGCAGGCCCCUGGAAGAGCUGCCCUGCUCCUCCAGCACCCGGGCCAGGCCUAACCCAGCUCACUGAGCCCCAUGUUCUUGUUUAUGGCUCUGGGGCUGUCCUUUGGCCUGUCUUGCCCCUUGUCAGCACCCCAGUGGCCACAAGUCCGCGUUUUUCUCCCUGGUACCAAUUCUGCAGGGCAGAAUAGCCGCGUGGUGCUGGGGCAGAGGCCCUGCAGCCACCACAGCACGGACUUCUCCUGCCCGUGGCCCAAGGGGACAGCAGCCCUUGCCCCGCUCUAUUAGCACCGGUAACAGGUCUCAUUCAUUCUCAUUCUCAAUUUCUCAUGAGAAAUUCCCCCAGAUUAGUUUUCCUUGCAAAAAUUUCAGGGCGGCAUCACCUUGAGGCUUCACAAGUAAUGUGGAGGGAAUGAGAGGCUGGAGGGAGACAGAGCGAGCUCGGUUAGGUGGUGAGAAGGGAGGACGGACGUGUGUCCAGCAGAUGAAUUUCACAAAGCGAUUGCAAAGAGGAGUAGAACUGGGCUGUGACUCCCUCUGGAAGAGAAAGGGAAAGCCCCCGGCUGAACCUGCGGCCUGAUAGCAAGAGCUGGCUCUGCCCUGGCUCAGGAUAAAUGCAUGGGGUCGGGGGAUUGGCGCUUGUGGGUUUGUUGUUGUAGGGUGGAAUGCGAGCAAUUUCUUGGCACUUAUUUUCCACAGGAUAUUAGCAUUAUAAAGGGAGUUGCUGAGAAGCAAUACUUAAGAUACGGCUGCUGUUGGCUCCGUUCUCCAUGGGUUUUGAGUCUGCUCUGUCCUUUUCCAGUGAGCAUAGCCAGAGGAACAUUUGAUUACUCCACACUUUUUACAUACAAAGCACCCAAAAACCUCUGAGGAAGAAGAGGCCAGAGCAGACAGGAUAAUGUCUUCAUUCAGCACAGCAAAACCUCUUCUUCCUCAUGCCCUUCCUCCCAGCCCCUGCCAGGCCCAGGCUGCAGGAGGCAAGUCCUGGUGCAACGUGCUCUGCAGGAGGUGUGCGACCUGCAGCCUGCAGGGAAGGGUCUCCUGGCAAGGACUAAACAGCAGAUUGAUGCUUUCGAUCCUUUCCUGACAUGUAUGAAGAGGUCCCCAAAGGGUCUUUGUGUUUGUUCGGGCUCUAACUUGCUUUAGGUAUUUAAGGUCUCGGCAGCCUAAUGAGCCUGGGGUAUCCAGGGAAUGCAGGGAUGGACAGAGAAUCAAUGGGGGGACGGUAAAUGAGUGGGAACAAUUUGAACGUGCCCCUCCUCUCACUUGGCUCCUCAAAGCUGUGGGGCUUUGCUGUUUGGGAGGUCUUUGUCUUUCUUACAGCAAGGAGAGUUUGGCUUCCCCACCCCACUUCACCCCUCACCACCCCCCUUUUUCAGGCUCCGUG
Molecule: long non-coding RNA, 2722 nt
Filed under: Anas zonorhyncha (Eastern spot-billed duck)
Lineage: Eukaryota; Metazoa; Chordata; Aves; Anseriformes; Anatidae
Description: lncRNA (ENSAZOG00000018150.1)
Source: RNAcentral